UCAGCCUCUACGGUUCACUGGAGAACAGAAGGACAAGAACAAAAAAGCACGCACACACUCGACAAUGGGCAAGCGCACCAAGAAGGCCCCAAAGCAGAAGCGGAAACUCGCCAUGGCGGAUCGCCCGCGCAAGCUUACUAGCAAGGGCAAGGUAAAGCACAAGCGCGGAGACCUGAAGAUGGUGAGCUCUCGCAACGUCAGCUUUGACGUGAGGCAAGGCAAGGGCGGCAAGUGGAUCAAGACAGGGGAGCGCAAGUGCAACAUCCAUACCGUGUGCGACUGUGUCAAGCGAACGGAUCCGGCGCGGAUGCGCUACAUUACAAAUCGGUGAAAUGUGAAGAGCACAGCGCCUGCGGGCCACCAGCGGUGAACAACCUUUUUUCUUCUUCACUCACGUCGUUGCUGCGUCUCUACGAGUGCUUGGCCCGUUUUUGUUUUCGGUGGUUUACGUGCGCGUGCGUGUGUAUGUGUGUGCUGCCUCCUCUCUCGUAUGAAUGUUGUGCGCCACUGCACUUCCAUAAUUGGUCAUGCUCCCACGGCCACAGCAACAGUAACAAAACGAAGCGUGGUAACUUUUGGAGACGACUCGUUUGGCGACACCUCGUCCUCUUUCUCCUCUGACCCAACCGUCAGGGACGGCUAGGGUCCCCUGAUUGGCGCUCUCAAGUGCUUCGCGUUAUCCCUGCUCGUCGGCGUGCUGCAGGGUUAUGGCGCGAUUGCGCCUACGUAGGUGUGUUACUUUUCCUGCGACACGCACACGCCCAUCCCUCUCUCUUUCUCUCUCCUCUGCCUCGUUCCCCAUACUUUUUUCCUCCGCACUUGUGGCAUUCCACUCUGUGUGUGCGUGCGCGCGUCGCCUGCGGUGUCGGGAAG
Molecule: unclassified non-coding RNA, 873 nt
Filed under: Leishmania donovani
Lineage: Eukaryota; Euglenozoa; Kinetoplastea; Trypanosomatida; Trypanosomatidae
Description: gene:LdHU3.36.7890(CDS-product:phosphoprotein_lep p12)
Source: RNAcentral